Molecule: ribosomal RNA, 370 nt
Filed under: uncultured bacterium
Lineage: Bacteria
Description: bacterial SSU rRNA
Rfam family: Bacterial small subunit ribosomal RNA
Source: RNAcentral
AAUCAACGCUGGCGGCAUGCCUAACACAUGCAAGUCGAACGCCCCGCAAGGGGAGCGGCAGACGGGUGAGUAACACGUGGGAACGUGCCUUUUGGUUCGGAACAACUGAGGGAAACUUCAGCUAAUACCGGAUAAGCCCUUACGGGGAAAGAUUUAUCGCCAAAAGAUCGGCCCGCGUCUGAUUAGCUAGUUGGUGAGGUAAUGGCUCACCAAGGCUACGAUCAGUAGCUGUUCGAGAGGAUGAUCAGCCACAUUGGGACUGAGACACGGCCCAAACUCCUACGGGAGGCAGCAGUGGGGAAUAUUGGACAAUGGGGGAAACCCUGAUCCAGCCAUGCCGCGUGAGUGAUGAAGGCCCUAGGGUUGUAAA